CAAGCUAAAGGGCGGAAUCGAUCAACUACCUUUUCCUUUUGUAAAAAAUUCCCAGAAAAAUGGUUGAAUGGGCA
Molecule: transfer RNA, 74 nt
Filed under: Gossypium harknessii
Lineage: Eukaryota; Viridiplantae; Streptophyta; Magnoliopsida; Malvales; Malvaceae
Description: tRNA-His
Source: RNAcentral